Molecule: unclassified non-coding RNA, 2712 nt
Filed under: Hevea brasiliensis (rubber tree)
Lineage: Eukaryota; Viridiplantae; Streptophyta; Magnoliopsida; Malpighiales; Euphorbiaceae
Source: RNAcentral
CAGGGGCUAAAUAAUUUUUCAAAUUGCAGAACAAUUAUCACUAAACAAACCAAAAAAAAGUUUAAACCAACAGAUUAUUCUGAAAUAGAGCAAUAUUAUGGAUUUAUCUUGCAACCAUUACCGAAUAGUAAUGAGAAGACUUUGAACCAGGCUGACAUAACAAGCCUAUUCCCAGACUACGUUACAUUUUCAGAAGACAUUCCCAGUAAGCAGCUAUAAAGCCUCAAAAUUGCCAGCGAUAAGUAUUUUUUACUUUCUCAGAAUCAGUACAAUUACUGUUAUGAGAUCAAGGAACUUGCCGCUGAUCUUAGAGAAGACCUUGAAGGGGAUGACAAAUAUGGUUUUGGUGGGAUUGAUAGUGACUCGAGUCUCUCUUGCAACAUUUCUACCACUCUGCUCAUUGGUGGCCGAUUUGAGGGAUCAGUUUGUAUGCACCACAGGCUCACUAACACCAUUUUUUUGGCUGUUAGGUGGUCUUCUUCGCUAUCAAUUCCAUUAAGUUCAAGUUCUUCUCCUAGUUCGAGAAGCUUGAAUAUCCAAUGAGGAAAAUAUAUUUCACUGGUAUUAUCAACAGCAACACAAAUAUUCUUUCUUCCUCCAACCAUUUCUAGCACUAACAUCCCAUAACGAUAAACAUCAGACUUGUGAGAGACCACUCCGAAAUUUCUACAAAAUACUUCAGGUGCGAUAUAUCCAGCAGUCCCUCUAGCAUCCAUCAAUGAUAUGAUACUCUCUUUUCUAGGACAUAUUUUUGCUAGACCAAAAUCAGAAAUUUUAGGACAGAAAGUUUCAUCCAGAAGAAUGUUAUGAGGCUUUAUGUCAAAAUGCAGAAUCCUUGUGUUACAACCUCGGUGCAAGUACUCUAAUCCACGAGCAAUACCAAGUGCAAUUUGGUGUAAUGUUUCCCAAUCCAGUUGACGAUCAGCUUUCAAGGGAUUUUCUUCAUAUAUGUACUUCUCAAGAGACCCAUUAAACAUGAAUUCAUAGAUUAGUGCUCGUUUGGAACCCUCAAAACAAAAUCCUAAAAGAGCAACAAUGUUGACAUGGGAAGUCCUACUAAUGCUUGCAACCUCAUUUAUAAAUUUCUUCCCCGUUGCUCUUCGAUUCCUUCAAAAUCUUCACUGCCACAAGACGGCCAUCAGGUAAUUUCCCUUUAAAAACACUUCCAUAACCUCCUUGGCCUAGUUUGUCAUUGAAGGAUCCUGUCAUUUUCUUAACUUCUGUAUAUUUGUAUCUUUUUGGUGACAUCACUCCAUUGUUCUUAAGAAACGCCUCAAUACUUUGAUGGCAUUGUGUGUUCUUCUUCCAAUAGAAAAUGGAGUAUUUGGAUGAUAACUUUCUACUGAAGCAAAAGACUAUCACUAGAAGUGCAAUUCCAGAAGCUGAGAGGGCUGCAACAAUGGAUAAAAGGAGAUUAAAAAAAUAAUGUAGAAGAAACCCAUCAUAAUAGAAAUUCUCCAUUGGAUGUUAAGAUUCUUGAGAAAUAUAUGCAAAAGAGAAAUUGAGUUGUUGAUCAGGAAGUCAAAUACCUAGCCCUAGCUUCAAUCUGAAUCCUUUGUGUCUUUCUGGAGGAGGCAGUGGCUGAGGACCACCAAUACAUUUCACUGUUCCAUUGUUGGUUUUACAUUCUCCACCACGUAAAUGACAGAGAUGACAAUCAGGCCAUAUGCUGACAUUCAGAGAGAAGUUAGCAGCUGACAUUCGGAAUAUGUCGUCAUGAUCAUUGUUUGUGUUUAGUGGGAGCUUCACAAUUGAGCAGUUACGCAGAGACCUUAGUACACUUGCAUUAUCCUUCUUAGGAUAAUAGAUUUUGAAGUCGGGGCACUUUUUAUAACUAAUAAAAUUAAAAGAAGGUUCUGGAAAAUCUACAGAGUGGUUGCAUUUGUAUAUGGUUGUUAGACUGGAGUCAAUUUGAAAAGAUGCGUAUGUGAGAUUGGGAAGACUCAGAUUGCUGAUGGACUCGCAGCUCAACUGAUUCUGGAGCUUUAUGUCAAACGAAAAUUUUUUACUGAUAAGCAUGCCAAACGAAAUGUUACUCGGUAACUGGAUUCCAUUUUCUUCAUAUGGGGAGAUGCUUUCGACUUGAUACCAUUUUCCACGUCCCCAAUCAAACUUUGAUCUUCGGAAUUUCUUUAUAGCAAUCAUCCACGACAAAGGGACCGCAUCCCUCAUCAAAUCCAAAUGUGUCCGUGAAAGGGAAAUUGAGCAUUCCGAGUCUUCCACAGGGAACAGAUGGACAACCCUUGAUAAAAGGAAAAAGAGGGAGAAAGAAUGCAAAGAGAAGAAUCAAAGAGAAAGCAGCCAUGAACCAAUUGAAAGGAAAGAACCACCAAGAAGGUUAGUAAUUCUCUUUCAUUAUUACCCCUCUACAAUAUAUGGCUAUGGUUAUGGAGAUGGUAAACACGUCAGUUCACUUGGAAAAUUGACAUGGAAGACUUGGGGAUAUAGACUUUAAGGAAGAAAAAGCAAAGGUGGGGUACCCUUGUGAAAUUUCGUAUACCCUUUAUCAAUGAAAUAUACGCGACACAUAAUCUGGGGUGAGAUAGAAUAUUAAGGAUCCCUUUCCUUCUCUCUUAACUAAUGGUAUCGAGUUCGAGUUUUGAAUACGGAACACCUUUAAAACUUAGUAAGGAGUGUUUUGUCUCCCUUUGUAGAUCUGCCUGGCAUGAAUCUAGAUUAGCUGGGACAAUAGACUUCAGAUACAAGUUGGUU